This 497-nucleotide ribosomal RNA is filed under the name uncultured bacterium. RNAcentral's name for it is "partial 16S ribosomal RNA". It matches the Rfam family "Bacterial small subunit ribosomal RNA", at positions 28 to 507 of the family's 1533-position model. The record is from RNAcentral.
GAUGAACGCUGGCGGCGUGCCUAAUACAUGCAAGUCGAGCGAACAGACGAGGAGCUUGCUCCUCUGACGUUAGCGGCGGACGGGUGGGUAACACGUGGAUAACCUACCUAUAAGACUGGGAUAACUUUGGGAAACCGGAGCUAAUACCGGAUAAUAUAUUGAACCGCAUGGUUCAAUAGUGAAAGACGGUUUUGCUGUCACUUAUAGAUGGAUCCGCGCCGCAUUAGCUAGUUGGUAAGGUAACGGCUUACCAAGGCGACGAUGCGUAGCCGACCUGAGAGGGUGAUCGGCCACACUGGAACUGAGACACGGUCCAGACUCCUACGGGAGGCAGCAGUAGGGAAUCUUCCGCAAUGGGCGAAAGCCUGACGGAGCAACGCCGCGUGAGUGAUGAAGGUCUUCGGAUCGUAAAACUCUGUUAUUAGGGAAGAACAAAUGUGUAAGUAACUAUGCACGUCUUGACGGUACCUAAUCAGAAAGCCACGGCUAACUACGUG